GGAAUAUUGGUCAAUGGGCGAUGGCCUGAACCAGCCAAGUAGCGUGAGGGACGACGGCCCUACGGGUUGUAAACCUCUUUUGUAUGGGAAUAAAGUGAGGCACGUGUGCCUUUUUGUAUGUACCAUACGAAUAAGCAUCGGCUAAUUCCGUGCCAGCAGCCGCGGUAAUACGGAAGAUGCGAGCGUUAUCCGGAUUUAUUGGGUUUAAAGGGAGCGUAGGCGGCCCGUUAAGUCAUCGGUCAAAUGUCAGUGCCCAACAUUGGCAAGCCGUUGAUACUGGUGGGCUUGAAUACACACAAGGAAGGUGGAAUUCGUCGUGUAGCGGUGAAAUGCUUAGAUAUGACGAAGAACUCCGAUUGCGAAGGCAGCCAACAAGGCCUUUACUGACGCUAAAGCUCGAAGGUGCGGGUAUCGAACA
Molecule: ribosomal RNA, 418 nt
Filed under: uncultured bacterium
Lineage: Bacteria
Description: bacterial SSU rRNA
Rfam family: Bacterial small subunit ribosomal RNA
Source: RNAcentral